RNAcentral lists this transfer RNA (71 nucleotides) under Marmota marmota marmota (Alpine marmot). It matches the Rfam family "tRNA". Rfam says of the family: Transfer RNA (tRNA) molecules are approximately 80 nucleotides in length. Lineage: Eukaryota; Metazoa; Chordata; Mammalia; Rodentia; Sciuridae. RNAcentral also lists the same sequence under 1 other name. The record is from Rfam by way of RNAcentral.
UUGGGUGUAACUCAGUGAUAGAGCAUGUGCUUAGCAUACAUGAGGCCCUGAGUUCAACCCCAGUGCCCAAA